UACAGAGGUCCCAAGCGUUGUUCGGAUUCAUUGGGCGUAAAGGGUACGUAGGUGGCGCCGUAAGUCGGGUGUGAAAUUUCGGAGCUUAACUCCGAAACUGCAUUCGAUACUGCGGUGCUUGAGGACUGGAGAGGAGACUGGAAUUCAUGGUGUAGCAGUGAAAUGCGUAGAGAUCAUGAGGAAGACCAGUGGCGAAGGCGGGUCUCUGGACAGUUCCUGACACUGAGGCA
Molecule: ribosomal RNA, 230 nt
Filed under: uncultured bacterium
Lineage: Bacteria
Description: partial 16S ribosomal RNA
Rfam family: Bacterial small subunit ribosomal RNA
Source: RNAcentral